CUUAGAUACCGAAUUGUGAAUGUUUGAAGUGUUUUGGAAAGAAUCUUCACUGUCACUGGACUUUGUUUAUGGCUUAUCCUUUGCUUGUUAAUCUUUCUCCAAUACUGAUAAAUAGUAAUGUCUGUGUAAGCUAUACAAGGUAUCGCUUGUCAGGAGAAUGCAGGUAGUCUUGAGAUGGAAGCAUAGUUAUUGAAUUGGAUAGACUAGAAUGUCCUUUGAUAAAUGGAGCAGUAUCAACUUCAAAAAGCAAAUUUGAUGACAAAAUAGAGGCAUCUUCUGCCAAAAUGUAUUUUCACUACUAUGGGCAGCUAUUGCAUCAGCAGAAUAUGUUGCAGGAUUUUGUAAGGACAGGAACCUAUUAUUCUGCUGUAAUUGAGAACCGUGCUGAUUUUCUUGGUCGCGUAGUGGUUGAUGUUUGCGCUGGUAGUGGCAUUUUGUCAUUAUUUGCAGCCCAGGCUGGUGCAAAGCAUGUUUAUGCCAUAGAGGCUUCUGAAAUGGCCGACUAUGCAAGAAUAAACUUAUUGCUGGAAAUCCAUCACUGAAUGAAAGAAUUACAGUAAUCAAAGGAAAGGUUGAAGAUGUAGAGUUACCUGAAAAAGCUGAUAUUUUGAUCUCUGAGCCAAUGGAUGGUAGGUGAAAAGAGGGGUAAGGAAACAAAGAAGGCUAACGAGACAGCGGUUCCCUGGAGACCUCCAGAAAACCUUGCGAUUAGAAUGUUUGAAUGUUAAUGUUUGGUGAAUUUGUGGAUUUGCGAGGGUGAAGUAGUCUAAUGUUGUAGACUAACUUAGUGUAGACUAGUUUAAUGUUUACAAAUGUUGAAGUAGUUUAAUGUUGUUUUGAUGUUUGCGAAGGUUGAAGUAGCUUAAUUAACGUCUCUUGUGAAUGUUUGAUUAACGUUUUUAUUCAACUUUGAAGUAGUUUCGAAUUGAAUUUGAUGUUUUGGUGGUUGUAAUAUAUGUGUUGUAAUAGUAGCUUAUUGUUUUAUGUAUUUAUAGUAGUUUGGUGUAUUGUUGGCAGCUAUUUGGGCUCGUUUUAAUUGAAAGUAAAAUUAUUUUCAUCUUGACAGGGAGGCAGGUGGAGUAACAGCUAGGUGCUACAAUUUUUUUUGCAGAAUACCGACCUCAUGAGGUCGGUUAUGGGCAAAAUUUACCCAGAAACUGCUAAUUACCGACCUCAUGAGGUCGGUUUUUUGGAAAAUUUUCCCAGAAAUUGCAAAUUACCGACCUCAUGAGGUCAGUUUUCUGCAAAAUUAUCCAACAUAUG
Long non-coding RNA from Lycium barbarum (goji berry), 1263 nucleotides. RefSeq lists it as uncharacterized. The record is from RefSeq and is a predicted model, not a curated record. The transcript has 6 exons. NCBI's taxonomy places the organism in Eukaryota, Viridiplantae, Streptophyta, Magnoliopsida, Solanales, Solanaceae.